RNAcentral lists this ribosomal RNA (462 nucleotides) under Vreelandella stevensii. Its description in RNAcentral is "partial 16S ribosomal RNA". It matches the Rfam family "Bacterial small subunit ribosomal RNA", at positions 338 to 792 of the family's 1533-position model. The record is from RNAcentral. Lineage: Bacteria; Pseudomonadati; Pseudomonadota; Gammaproteobacteria; Oceanospirillales; Halomonadaceae.
CCUACGGGAGGCAGCAGUGGGGAAUAUUGGACAAUGGGCGAAAGCCUGAUCCAGCCAUGCCGCGUGUGUGAAGAAGGCCUUCGGGUUGUAAAGCACUUUCAGUGGGGAAGAAAGCCUUGGGGCUAAUACCCUCGAGGAAGGACAUCACCCACAGAAGAAGCACCGGCUAACUCCGUGCCAGCAGCCGCGGUAAUACGGAGGGUGCGAGCGUUAAUCGGAAUUACUGGGCGUGAAGCGCGCGUAGGCGGUCUGAUAAGCCGGUUGUGAAAGCCCCGGGCUCAACCUGGGAACGGCAUCCGGAACUGUCAGGCUAGAGUGCAGGAGAGGAAGGUAGAAUUCCCGGUGUAGCGGUGAAAUGCGUAGAGAUCGGGAGGAAUACCAGUGGCGAAGGCGGCCUUCUGGACUGACACUGACGCUGAGGUGCGAAAGCGUGGGUAGCAAACAGGAUUAGAUACCCCGGUC